Sitodiplosis mosellana (orange wheat blossom midge) is the source of this 616-nucleotide long non-coding RNA. RefSeq lists it as uncharacterized. The record is from RefSeq and is a predicted model, not a curated record. Lineage: Eukaryota; Metazoa; Arthropoda; Insecta; Diptera; Cecidomyiidae. The transcript has 4 exons.
UCAGAACUGAAGUUGGACGGUUUAAUAAUGUGUCUUAUGAUGAUCAGCACCCCCACCGUUCUAACCAUAUUCCUGAAUAUGUUCGGAGCCAACAAUAAUGAACACAAGCCGGCAUUCUCAGCUUCUAUUUUGUUGAUUCUGUUCAUCAUAACUACCAUUGGCAUCAUAAUAUAUAUUGGUGUGAUCAGAAACGAUCUCUCAAACCGAGAGUUUGAGUCGGAAUUGAAAACAAAAUUCAAAAACUAUGAAGCAAACCAAAUGUUCUUGAGGAAGCUACAAAUUGAUAACAAGUGCUGUGUAUAUACGAAUUCAAGUGAUUACAAGACUAUUCCAAGAGCAUGCUGCCAAAAUUUCGAUUAAGACCCAAAAACAUGCAAUGUAUGGGACACAGGAUGCAUAUCGAUUAUUCAGACGUCCGCAGAAUUUGUCACUUCCAAUCUGGGAACUUUCUUUGCCAUUGGAGCUUGCCUCGUGUGUAUUCAAGCGGUUGAAAUUCUUCUCUACGGUUACUUGAUCUUUUCCGGCUUCUUUUUUCUACUUGGACAAAAAUCAUUUUUAACGCAAUCGUCAAAAUGAAUUUAUCAAAUGAGAAAAGUGAUAAAGUCAUAAGUUCUAU